GUUUUUGUAGUGUAGUGGUAAUCAGAUUCGCCUCACACGCGAAAGGUCCCUGGUUCGAAACCAGGCAAAAACA
Molecule: non-coding RNA, 73 nt
Organism: Astyanax mexicanus (Mexican tetra)
Lineage: Eukaryota; Metazoa; Chordata; Actinopteri; Characiformes; Acestrorhamphidae
Source: the annotation of a RefSeq genome assembly